GAAAAAUGGUAUUUUGUGGUUUUGGGAGCCAGUCUAAAACUGUUAUUUUGGAAGAAUAAAAGGGGAAGGACAACUAUCACUAGCUUUUCAAAGGGAUGGUGUGUGCCUUCAGCCAUUUGAAGUCUUCAAGAAAAGCUCUGCUCUAGAGGGAAACCACAGCAAACUGGGCUGCACAUACACCUUGGUGCCCUGUGGAAGGUAGCCUGCUUCUUUUGCUCAUCCUGGGAUGCUCACAGGCAUUACCACACUUUGUCUGUUCUUUAAUGGUGGAUAUCAGCCUUGGAGGCACCCUACAGCAGAACGCCUAAGCAUUUCUCACAUCCAGAUGAAGUCCCUUUAGAUAGGACAGUAUGCAGAGGGGUGAAUGCACCCUAUGUGCAGGAAGGAGUUAAUCUCACCACUGCAGUCGCUUCCCUUCGGCGCAAGAGAUGCGGCGAGCGAGAGGAAUGGCAACAAGGAGAGAAAAUUGAGCAGUUGCUGCGGAGUCUGUCCUCGGAGUGAGGGGGACUCAUCGGAACAAGCAGCCAGAGCCCUCUAGCACUGAGGACUUGGUCAGCACGGAAAUCAGAGACGAGCACUGCCUGCCAUACUCUAUGCCCACUCACACCUCUCCCGAUUCCCUCUGUUUCCACUUACAUUUUCUGUCAUUUUGUCGUUUUAUUACGUUUUAAAGGAGUGAACCUUCCAGGAAAGACACUGCCUAUAACAGGACAAAGUGAAAAAUACACCAUUCCUUUCACUUGUGGUGCAUUUU
RNAcentral lists this long non-coding RNA (754 nucleotides) under Zonotrichia albicollis (white-throated sparrow). RNAcentral's name for it is "lncRNA (ENSZALG00000015887.1)". Lineage: Eukaryota; Metazoa; Chordata; Aves; Passeriformes; Passerellidae. The record is from RNAcentral.